This is a non-coding RNA of Pelobates cultripes (western spadefoot toad), 256 nucleotides long. NCBI's taxonomy places the organism in Eukaryota, Metazoa, Chordata, Amphibia, Anura, Pelobatidae. The record is from the annotation of a GenBank genome assembly.
ACCGUUCCUGCUUCAGUCCACUCUGACUGGAUUAAACUUGUGCUGCUUCUUUUUAUACUGUUCCAGUUUCACGCUCUUUUUCUACUUGCGACUUUCAACCAAUCCCAUGCCAGCUCCAGCCCCUAGAAACAGCUGUGUCAUCAAUUCUGCCCAGAUACCUGUCUAACGGACCAUCUACCACAAGAUGUAAAAUUCCUCACAUUCAAAUCCUAGAAACAAAACAGAUUAACUCCUUCAUUGCCACCAUACAUAUAUG